UACGUAGGUGACAAGCGUUGUCCGGAUUUACUGGGCGUAAAGAGCGCGCAGGCGGCCGAUCAAGUCGAGUGUGAAAGCCCCCGGCUCAACUGGGGAGGGUCAUUCGAUACUGAUCGCCUCGAAGGCAGGAGAGGGUAGUGGAAUUCCCGGUGUAGUGGUGAAAUGCGUAGAUAUCGGGAGGAACACCAGUGGCGAAGGCGACUCCCUGGCCUGUUCUUGACGCUGAGGCGCGAAAGCUAGGGGAGCAAACGGG
RNAcentral lists this ribosomal RNA (253 nucleotides) under uncultured bacterium. RNAcentral describes it as "partial 16S ribosomal RNA". It matches the Rfam family "Bacterial small subunit ribosomal RNA", at positions 524 to 776 of the family's 1533-position model. The record is from RNAcentral.